This 72-nucleotide transfer RNA is filed under the name Thermoplasmata archaeon. RNAcentral's name for it is "tRNA-Asn". It matches the Rfam family "tRNA". From Rfam's summary of the family: Transfer RNA (tRNA) molecules are approximately 80 nucleotides in length. Their secondary structure includes four short double-helical elements and three loops (D, anti-codon, and T loops). The record is from RNAcentral. Lineage: Archaea; Methanobacteriati; Thermoplasmatota; Thermoplasmata. RNAcentral also lists the same sequence under 1 other name.
GCCGUCGUAGCUCAGCGGUGGAGCGUCCGGCUGUUAACCGGCAGGUCGGCGGUUCGAAUCCGCCCGACGGCG